This 861-nucleotide ribosomal RNA is filed under the name Psychrobacter luti. RNAcentral's name for it is "bacterial SSU rRNA". It matches the Rfam family "Bacterial small subunit ribosomal RNA", at positions 117 to 976 of the family's 1533-position model. The record is from RNAcentral. Lineage: Bacteria; Pseudomonadati; Pseudomonadota; Gammaproteobacteria; Moraxellales; Moraxellaceae.
UUAGGAAUCUACCUAGUAGUGGGGGAUAGCACGGGGAAACUCGUAUUAAUACCGCAUACGACCUACGGGAGAAAGGGGGCAGUUUACUGCUCUCGCUAUUAGAUGAGCCUAAGUCGGAUUAGCUAGAUGGUGGGGUAAAGGCCUACCAUGGCGACGAUCUGUAGCUGGUCUGAGAGGAUGAUCAGCCACACCGGGACUGAGACACGGCCCGGACUCCUACGGGAGGCAGCAGUGGGGAAUAUUGGACAAUGGGGGAAACCCUGAUCCAGCCAUGCCGCGUGUGUGAAGAAGGCCUUUUGGUUGUAAAGCACUUUAAGCAGUGAAGAAGACUCUGUGGUUAAUACCCACAGACGAUGACAUUAGCUGCAGAAUAAGCACCGGCUAACUCUGUGCCAGCAGCCGCGGUAAUACAGAGGGUGCAAGCGUUAAUCGGAAUUACUGGGCGUAAAGGGAGCGUAGGUGGCUCGAUAAGUCAGAUGUGAAAUCCCCGGGCUCAACCUGGGAACUGCAUCUGAUACUGUCGUGCUAGAGUAUGUGAGAGGAAGGUAGAAUUCCAGGUGUAGCGGUGAAAUGCGUAGAGAUCUGGAGGAAUACCGAUGGCGAAGGCAGCCUUCUGGCAUAAUACUGACACUGAGGCUCGAAAGCGUGGGUAGCAAACAGGAUUAGAUACCCUGGUAGUCCACGCCGUAAACGAUGUCUACUAGUCGUUGGGUCCCUUGAGGACUUAGUGACGCAGCUAACGCAAUAAGUAGACCGCCUGGGGAGUACGGCCGCAAGGUUAAAACUCAAAUGAAUUGACGGGGGCCCGCACAAGCGGUGGAGCAUGUGGUUUAAUUCGAUGCAACGCGAAGAACCUUACCU